This 513-nucleotide ribosomal RNA is filed under the name uncultured bacterium. RNAcentral describes it as "partial 16S ribosomal RNA". It matches the Rfam family "Bacterial small subunit ribosomal RNA", at positions 28 to 523 of the family's 1533-position model. The record is from RNAcentral.
GAUGAACGCUGGUGGCGUGCCUAAUACAUGCAAGUCGAGCGAACAGACGAGGAGCUUGCUCCUCUGACGUUAGCGGUGGACGGGUGAGUAACACGUGGAUAACCUACCUAUAAGACUGGGAUAACUUCGGGAAACCGGAGCUAAUACCGGAUAACAUGUUGAACCGCAUGGUUCAACAGUGAAAGACGGUCUUGCUGUCACUUAUAGAUGGAUCCGCGCCGCAUUAGCUAGUUGGUAAGGUAACGGCUUACCAAGGCAACGAUGCGUAGCCGACCUGAGAGGGUGAUCGGCCACACUGGAACUGAGACACGGGCCAGACUCCUACGGGAGGCAGCAGUAGGGAAUCUUCCGCAAUGGGCGAAAGCCUGACGGAGCAACGCCGCGUGAGUGAAGAAGGUCUUCGGAUCGUAAAACUCUGUUAUUAGGGAAGAACAAAUGUGUAAGUAACUAUGCACGUCUUGACGGUACCUAAUCAGAAAGCCACGGCUAACUACGUGCCAGCCGCCGCGGUAA